This 669-nucleotide ribosomal RNA is filed under the name Triticum aestivum (bread wheat). RNAcentral's name for it is "partial small subunit ribosomal RNA". The record is from RNAcentral. Lineage: Eukaryota; Viridiplantae; Streptophyta; Magnoliopsida; Poales; Poaceae.
AUGGCGAUCGUGUACGCGCUCGUGGCGCGGGGCACGGUCGUGCUGGCCGAGUUCGCCGCCGUCUCGGGCAACGCCGGCGCCGUCGCCCGUCGCAUCCUCGAGAAGCUCCCCUCCGAGGCCGAGGCGCGCCUCUGCUUCGCGCAGGACCGCUACAUCUUCCACGUCCUCCGCUCCCCCGCCGACGGCCUCACCUUCCUCUGCAUGGCCAACGACACCUUCGGACGGAGAGUUCCCUUCAUUUAUCUCGAGGACAUCCAGAUGAGGUUCAUGAAGAACUAUGGCAGGGUCGCCCAUUCCGCGCUGGCCUAUGCCAUGAACGACGAGUUUGCCAGGGUGCUCCACCAGCAAAUGGAGUUCUUCUCCAGUAACCCCAGCGCCGACACGCUCAACCGCCUCCGGGGCGAAGUCAGCGAGAUACACACCGUCAUGGUUGACAACAUAGAGAAGAUUCUUGACAGAGGCGACCGCAUCUCGCUUCUUGUAGACAAGACCUCCACAAUGCAGGAUAGUGGCUUUCACUUCCGCAAGCAAUCCAAGAGGCUUCGGAGAGCUCUCUGGAUGAAGAAUGUCAAGCUUCUAGCGGUGUUGACAGCGGUCAUUGUGCUGCUACUUUACCUGAUCAUUGCGGCUUUCUGCGGAGGCCUAUCCCUUCCAUCGUGCAGAUCAUAA